RNAcentral lists this long non-coding RNA (1134 nucleotides) under Serinus canaria (Common canary). RNAcentral's name for it is "lncRNA (ENSSCAG00000006391.1)". The record is from RNAcentral. Lineage: Eukaryota; Metazoa; Chordata; Aves; Passeriformes; Fringillidae.
GUCUGCCGCUUGCUCCGUGGUCGUUAAACUACCCUGCCCCGGGAGCAGACCCCGUUUUAGGGGUAGGGCUCCGGACAGGGAUCGGAUCGACACCUCCCCGCACCCAGGAGCCGAUCCGGGAUCGAAGCCGCGGACUUCGGAGUUUUUCCCCGCUUUCCCGCUAGUAAGGGGUGAGUAACUCCAGCUUCCCAACUUCGAGAGUUGCCCCCCGCCUUAUCUCCCGGUUUCAUCCGGUCGAGUCGAGGUUUCGCCCUGGGCUCGGUGAGGUUGGGGCUAGCGGUUGGGGUUUUUUGUUAGCGUUUUUUUUUCGUUUCACUCCGAAGGUUCGUUUUUGCGGGGCAGAGAUGGGUUGCAAACUCUCUGUCCCCCAGAAAAGAGUUUAUUACCAAGUUGUGGGUACCCUUGAAGGUAGAAAUGUUAAAAUUGUUAAGCGGGAGUUAAAAGAUUUAAUCAUAUGGUUGUUCAUUCAAUUUCCAGAGAUCUCCCCAGAUUUAGUUAAUGAAAUAAAAUUCUGGAAUUCAGUUGGAGACAAAUUAGCACAAUUCGAAUCUAAAGGGAGAUCAAAAAACAAAAAUUUAGUUUAUUGGACCUUCCAAAUCAUUACAGCUCUUAGAGAAAAACAGAAAUUGAAGGAACAACCACCCCCCCAUUCGUGUUCUCCCUACCCCCGUGUUCCAGACCCUUGUCCCACCCCUUCUCUCCCUGAGAAUAGCAGAACCCUUAGGAGAGCAGCCCGCGAGAGCACCGCGCCGGCUUCCUACCACCCGCCGGGCUCUCCUCAGGGUUCCCUGACCCCCCGCCUCCAAAGUCCUGGCCAGACUUCGGAGAGCUCUCUCCAAUCCCCCGAUUCCUUUUCCCCCGAGUCCCCAGUUGUGCAUCCCAAAGUUAGAUUUGCAGUUUCAGAGGGCAGCAGCCCCCAGACCUCUUCACAAAAUGGCUCCCAUGGAGCCCAAAAUGGCGGCGACCGCAUGGCUUUUCCCGCCAUCAGUUUUUCUUCUCCCCAUAAUCCUUUCCUUUCUCCCGCCAACCCUUUCUCCUCCCCUUCCCAUUCCUAUAACCCCGCCCCUAAUUAUGUUAAUUCUUCUCCCAAUCCCCCGCCUUCCUACACGCCCCUUUCCCCUCCUCCUUCCCAAG